RNAcentral lists this small RNA (81 nucleotides) under Paenibacillus alvei. Lineage: Bacteria; Bacillati; Bacillota; Bacilli; Caryophanales; Paenibacillaceae. The record is from RNAcentral.
CACAUGCUGUAACCGCUCCAGACAGGUAUGAAGUGUGAAGCAAUGCUUCACCACCUGAUUUAGGCGAGUCUGAGACAUGAG